CCAUUAUAAAAUAUGUCGUCUUGUUGACGCUAACAUUAUAAUCCCUUUUAAAUUAAUGACGUGAUCUGUCCGUUCUUGUCGUACUGUUAUGUAUCAAGGAUGUGCAGUAAAAUCACACACAAGCCUCCAAAGCACGUAGCCAUAUCUCGCUUCCACAUUAUAAACAGACUCAAGAUACGCAGCCAGAUCUGCUCCUCAGACGAGCGCAGAUAAUAAUUACAUUAAACCAAAACAACUGGAAGAGGCUCUUUUCUCCUUUCAUCCACUGUCUACCCUCAGCGGAGAGCCAGCAGUCAUUGCCAUGCAACACUGACACCAAUGCUCCACUGGCCCAUGGCAAGGUGUAGCCCGACCGGCGAGACCCACAGCGCCUCCACCAGGUUGUACUGGCAGUAGCCCAUCCCGAAGCCGAAGGCCACGUCCGUGACGUUGUGGCGCCCCAGCAGCACGCGGGAGAGGCCCACGGUGACGGCCCAGAGCAGC
Long non-coding RNA from Paramormyrops kingsleyae, 483 nucleotides. RefSeq lists it as uncharacterized. NCBI's taxonomy places the organism in Eukaryota, Metazoa, Chordata, Actinopteri, Osteoglossiformes, Mormyridae. The record is from RefSeq and is a predicted model, not a curated record.